UACGUAGGGUGCAGGCGUUAAUCGGAAUUACUGGGCGUAAAGCGUGCGCAGGCGGUUUGCUAAGAGAGAUGUGAAAUCCCCGGGCUUAACCUGGGAACUGCGUUUCUAACUGGCAGGCUUGAGACCGGGAGAGGUGAGUGGAAUUCCCAGUGUAGCGGUGAAAUGCGUAGAUAUUGGGAGGAACACCAGUGGCGAAGGCGGCUCACUGGACCGGUACUGACGCUGAGGCGCGAAAGCGUGGGGAGCAAACGGG
This 253-nucleotide ribosomal RNA is filed under the name uncultured bacterium. RNAcentral's name for it is "partial 16S ribosomal RNA". It matches the Rfam family "Bacterial small subunit ribosomal RNA", at positions 524 to 776 of the family's 1533-position model. The record is from RNAcentral.